GAUGAACGCUGGCGGCGUGCCUAAUACAUGCAAGUCGAGCGAAUGGAUUAAGAGCUUGCUCUUAUGAAGUUAGCGGCGGACGGGUGAGUAACACGUGGGUAACCUGCCCAUAAGACUGGGAUAACUCCGGGAAACCAGGGCUAAUACCGGAUAACAUUUUGAACCGCAUGGUUCGAAAUUGAAAGGCGGCUUCGGCUGUCACUUAUGGACGGACCCGCGUCGCAUUAGCUAGUUGGUGAGGUAACGGCUCACCAAGGCAACGAUGCGUAGCCGACGUGAGAGGGGGAGCGGCCACACUGGGACUGAGACACGGCCCAGACUCCUACGGGAGGCAGCAGUAGGGAAUCUUCCGCAAUGGACGAAAGUCUGACGGAGCAACGCCGCGUGAGUGAUGAAGGCUUUCGGGUCGUAAAACUCUGUUGUUAGGGAAGAACAAGUGCUAGUUGAAUAAGCUGGCACCUUGACGGUUCCUAACCAGAAAGCCACGGCUAACUACGUGCCAGCCGCCGCGGUAA
Molecule: ribosomal RNA, 515 nt
Filed under: uncultured bacterium
Lineage: Bacteria
Description: partial 16S ribosomal RNA
Rfam family: Bacterial small subunit ribosomal RNA
Source: RNAcentral